UACGUAGGUGGCAAGCGUUAUCCGGAAUUAUUGGGCGUAAAGAGCGCGCAGGUGGUUGAUUAAGUCUGAUGUGAAAGCCCACGGCUUAACCGUGGAGGGUCAUUGGAAACUGGUCGACUUGAGUGCAGGAGAGGGAAGUGGAAUUCCAUGUGUAGCGGUGAAAUGCGUAGAGAUAUGGAGGAACACCAGUGGCGAAGGCGGCUUCCUGGUCUGUAACUGACACUGAGGCGCGAAAGCGUGGGGAGCAAACAGGAUUAGAUACCCCGGUA
RNAcentral lists this ribosomal RNA (269 nucleotides) under uncultured prokaryote. RNAcentral describes it as "partial 16S ribosomal RNA". It matches the Rfam family "Bacterial small subunit ribosomal RNA", at positions 524 to 792 of the family's 1533-position model. The record is from RNAcentral.